GUGCCAGCAGCCGCGGUAAGACAGGGGAUGCAAGCGUUACUCGGAAUUACUGGGCGUAAAGCGUCUGCAGGUUUCUUGCCACGUCUGGCGUCAAAUGGCGAUGCUUAACAUCGUCACCGUACCGGAAACGAGCGAGAUAGAGUCACUCAGAGGCAUCUGGAAUGUCGUGUGUAGGGGUAAAAUCCGUAGAUCCACGAUGGAACGCCGAAAGCGAAGGCAGGAUGCUGGGGGUGUACUGACACUCAGAGACGAAAGCGUGGGGAGCAAAGGGGAUUAGAUACCCUAGUAGUCC
Molecule: ribosomal RNA, 292 nt
Filed under: uncultured bacterium
Lineage: Bacteria
Description: partial 16S ribosomal RNA
Rfam family: Bacterial small subunit ribosomal RNA
Source: RNAcentral